RNAcentral lists this long non-coding RNA (227 nucleotides) under Citrus sinensis (sweet orange). RNAcentral's name for it is "long non-coding RNA (CSIN_LNC000909)". The record is from RNAcentral. Lineage: Eukaryota; Viridiplantae; Streptophyta; Magnoliopsida; Sapindales; Rutaceae.
GAAGACAAGGCAUUGUGGGCAUUAUUCAAGUCAUUGGGCAGCCAAAUACACAAGUUGUAUCAAAUGCAGAAAGGUCAAAUUCGGAAUAAAAACUGUAUUGAUUGAGCCAGAAUUAAAAUGCAAGCUAUAUACCGUUGGAAAGAUAAUUAAGUUAGCUUUCCAAUAAAUUUUACAAAGCUGGAUUUGGAGUUCUCUAGAAGGAGUUAUGACCAAUUCUUUACAGCUUG